CGCCGGCGACCGAAUGCUUCCUUUGCCAAGAUGGCGCCGGGAGGCAGUGGCCGUGGCAGCACGCCGUGCUUGAAAAGCGAGGCCGAUUCUGGCUUCCUGGGCUUCCGUCCCACUUCGGUGGACCCGGCGCUGAGGCGGCGUCGGCGAGGCCCAAGAAACAGGAAACGAGGCUGGCGACGGCUCGCCCAGGAGCCGCUGGGGCUGGAAGUUGACCAGUUCCUGGAGGACGUGCGGCUGCAGGAGCGCACGAGCGGUGGCUUGAUAUCAGAGGCCCCGGAUGAGAAACUCUUCUUCGUGGACACCGGCUCCAAGAAAAAGGCCCCAGAGCUGAAGAAGAGGACCAAAAGCCAGAAAAGAUCACUUCUUCUCAAGAAACCUCUUCGUGUUGACCUCAUCCUAGAGAACACAUCCAAGGUUCCUGCCCCCAAAGACGUCCUCGCUCACCAGGUCCCCAAUGCCAAGAAGCUCAAACGGAAGGAGCAGCUAUGGGAGAAGCUGGCCAAGCAGGGCGAGCUGCCCCGGGAGGUGCGCAGGGCACAGGCCCGGCUUCUCAACCCUCCCGCUACCAAAGCCAAGCCCGGGCCCCAAGACACCGUCGAGCGGCCUUUCUAUGAUCUCUGGGCCAAAGACAACCCUCUGGAGCGGCCCCUGGCUGGCCAGGAUGCCUUUUUCCUGGAGCAGACCAAGAAGAAAGGGGUGAAGCGGCCGCCGCGUCUGCACACCAAGCCUUCCCAGGUCCCUGCCGUGGAGGUGACACCGGCUGGAGCCUCCUACAACCCGUCCUUCGAGGACCACCAGACCCUGCUGCGGGCGGCCCACGAGGUCGAACUGCAGCGGCAGAAGGAGGCGGAGAAGCUGGAAAGGCGGCUGGCGCUGCCCGCCUCGGAGCAGCCUGCCACCCAGGAGUCUGCGUUCCAGGAGCUGUGUCAGGGGCUGCUGGAGGAGUCAGACGGGGAGGGGGAGCCAGGUGAGGGCCAGGAUACGGGGCCCGAGGCUGGAGGGGAGCCGGCUGAAGGAGUGGAGGCCUCCCCAGCACCCAUGCGGCUGGCUGCAGCGGAGAAGAAGACCGAGCAACAGCGGCGGCGGGAGAAGGCUGCACGGAAGAUGCGGGUACAGCAGGCCGAGGUGCGGGCAGCCCGGCUCCGGCACCAGGAGCUCUUCAGGCUACGUGGGAUCAAGGCCCAGGUGGCACGGCGGCUGGCGGAGCUGGCGCGGAGGCGGGAGCGGCGGCAGGCACAGCGGCUGGCCGAGGCGGACAGACCCCGCAGGCUGGGGCGGCUCAAAUACCAGGCCCCCGACAUCGACGUGCAGCUCAGCUCGGAGCUGUCUGACUCGCUCAGGACCCUGAAGCCUCCAUCCCGCUGGUGCUGCGGACCUAGCCCAGGAGUCCCUCCACAUCACCCCACCAGCCCAGGGUCAGGAUGGGCCCCCCCAACUGAGGCCUCCCUCUCUGUGUCCCGCAGCCGGAAGGCAACAUUCUCCGCGACCGUUUCAAGAGCUUCCAGAAGAGAAACAUGAUCGAGCCCCGGGAGAGAGCCAAGUUCAAGCGCAAGUACAAAGUGAAGCUUGUGGAGAAGCGCGCGUUCCGCGAGAUCCAGUAACAAAGGCCCACAUUCCUGCUGUGUCAUUGACCCCAUGCACGGAGGUACCGCAGCACCGUGUGUUGCUUGGAGCCUUUGUGUUCCAGUCCAGCCCGUCCCUCUUCUGCGGAAGUAACUGUCACCGCAGUUCAGGCUGAACGAUUCUGGUAUGUCCCAUGUGUGAGUUCAUUGAACUCUAUACGUGUACAUGGAAACAUCGAACAAACGGCUUUUUAAUCUUUCUAUGUUUUGGAAAUGAUCACACUGUAA
Mustela lutreola (European mink) is the source of this 1850-nucleotide RNA transcript. It is a transcript of the gene named NOP53 ribosome biogenesis factor, with no coding region annotated. The record is from RefSeq and is a predicted model, not a curated record. NCBI's taxonomy places the organism in Eukaryota, Metazoa, Chordata, Mammalia, Carnivora, Mustelidae. The transcript has 13 exons.